RNAcentral lists this unclassified non-coding RNA (268 nucleotides) under Hevea brasiliensis (rubber tree). The record is from RNAcentral. Lineage: Eukaryota; Viridiplantae; Streptophyta; Magnoliopsida; Malpighiales; Euphorbiaceae.
AUUUAAGGCUUAGGGCCCGAGGCAAUUUGAAAUUGUUAUCACAUAAAAACUGGACAGAUUAUCCUGAUCCGUUCCUCCUCUCCCUAUCCUUGAGCAAAAAUAAGGGACGGGCGAGGAAGCAAAGCUCCACUAGCAGACUUAUAGACAAAAAAGGGAGCGGAAGUGAACUAAAUUCCACAUCAGAAGGGGAGGAGGAGGUUGACGAACCCUUUACCCUGGAUAGCAGCCUUUUGGUCUUUAGAGAAAGUACCAAACAGACAAAUUCGUA